This is an RNA transcript of Dryobates pubescens (Downy woodpecker), 1241 nucleotides long. It is a transcript of the gene named POP4 homolog, ribonuclease P/MRP subunit, with no coding region annotated. The transcript is spliced from 6 exons. NCBI's taxonomy places the organism in Eukaryota, Metazoa, Chordata, Aves, Piciformes, Picidae. The record is from RefSeq and is a predicted model, not a curated record.
GAAGCGAAGGCCGCUGCCAUGGAGGGGCAGCUGUACCGCCGCCUGCCGCCGGAGGAGACGGGGGAGCCGCGCCUCCAGCCUCAGGGAUCAGAAGAGGCCAAAGCGUUUAUAAGUGCCUUCCUGAAGCGCAGUAUGCCAAAAAUGAAAGAUGAAGCUAUCCAAGAUAUAUUAACUCGGAAAGCUGUAGUUCUUGAGCAUUAUUCCAAAAAAAAGGCAAAACAAAAGAGGAAAAAACCGAAAGGUUUUACUGCCAAGCAAAGGCGAGAACUGCGUCUUUUUGAAAUUGAACCUGAACAGCAAAGAUACACCCUCUUUCUACCACUGCAUGAACUCUGGAAACAGUAUAUCAGAGACCUGUGUCAUGGACUCAAACCAGAUGCGCAACCACAUAUGAUUCAGGGCAAACUGCUGAAAGCUGAUCUCCAUGGAGCUAUCGUUACAGGUACUCUGUUUGUUUUCUUUUAUACCUCAAGUUAAGAAGACACUCCUGUAUUUUAAGUGCUGCUUCUUACAUUCUUUUCCUAUUAAUCUAGAACCACAUAGCUGAGACCAUAUGUCAACGGAUUCUCUCUACUUAAUCAUACCAAUUACUUUUCAACUGCUCUUGAAAAUCACGCUCUUAGUUGCAAGUUUUACUCAUGAUUACUGUAAUCACAUUAUUUCAGAAUAUUGCAAACCAGUCUUUAAAAUGAUGAGGCUACUGUAGAAGAGCAAAUAAACUACCUGCAUCUGAAAUUUUCUAAUACACAUCUCUUCCAGUCACAAAAUCAAGGUGCCCAUCUUACGUUGGGAUAACAGGAAUCAUUCUACAGGAAUUUAAACAUGUCUUCAAAAUCAUCACUGAAGAGGACAAAUUAAAAGUUGUUCCCAAACUUCACAAUGUAUUUAGCUUGGAGAUUGAUGGGUUCAUUUCCUACAUCUAUGGAAGCAAGUUCCAGUUCAGAGCAAGUGAGCGAUCUGCAAAAAAAUUCAAGUUGAAAGGAACCAUUGACCUAUGAUUUUAUGGAACAUCAGAAGUAUUUCUAGAAAUGGGUGCUGUUUUCCUGCAGUUGAAAUAUCAGGUUCUGGGGCAUGUGGGAAAUAGCAUAGCUAUGUGAAAUCUUUCUGAAACUUUGCUUCUCACUGAAGAAUUAUUUGGAGUGUGUUACCUUUAAAGGAGUGUCUCAGACUGUUGGAACUUGUUGUGGUUUUUUAUUUGUAUGUAACAUUCUGCCUUAUUAAACUUAAAUGAUUUCUAUUGA